Molecule: ribosomal RNA, 770 nt
Filed under: Alteromonas australica
Lineage: Bacteria; Pseudomonadati; Pseudomonadota; Gammaproteobacteria; Alteromonadales; Alteromonadaceae
Description: bacterial SSU rRNA
Rfam family: Bacterial small subunit ribosomal RNA
Source: RNAcentral
GCGUGUGUGAAGAAGGCCUUCGGGUUGUAAAGCACUUUCAGUUGUGAGGAAAAGUUAGUAGUUAAUACCUGCUAGCCGUGACGUUAACAACAGAAGAAGCACCGGCUAACUCCGUGCCAGCAGCCGCGGUAAUACGGAGGGUGCGAGCGUUAAUCGGAAUUACUGGGCGUAAAGCGCACGCAGGCGGUUUGUUAAGCUAGAUGUGAAAGCCCCGGGCUCAACCUGGGAUAGUCAUUUAGAACUGGCAGACUAGAGUCUUGGAGAGGGGAGUGGAAUUCCAGGUGUAGCGGUGAAAUGCGUAGAUAUCUGGAGGAACAUCAGUGGCGAAGGCGACUCCCUGGCCAAAGACUGACGCUCAUGUGCGAAAGUGUGGGUAGCGAACAGGAUUAGAUACCCUGGUAGUCCACACCGUAAACGCUGUCUACUAGCUGUUUGUGACUUUAAGUCGUGAGUAGCGAAGCUAACGCGCUAAGUAGACCGCCUGGGGAGUACGGCCGCAAGGUUAAAACUCAAAUGAAUUGACGGGGGCCCGCACAAGCGGUGGAGCAUGUGGUUUAAUUCGAUGCAACGCGAAGAACCUUACCUACACUUGACAUGCUGAGAACUUUCUAGAGAUAGAUUGGUGCCUUCGGGAACUCAGACACAGGUGCUGCAUGGCUGUCGUCAGCUCGUGUCGUGAGAUGUUGGGUUAAGUCCCGCAACGAGCGCAACCCUUGUCCUUAGUUGCCAGCCUUAAGUUGGGCACUCUAAGGAGACUGCCGGGUGACAAA